AGAGAAAGUGGGAGGCAGGCCUAACACAUGCAAGUCGAACGGAUCCUUCGGGAUUAGUGGCGGACGGGUGAGUAACACGUGGGAACGUGCCCUUUGGUUCGGAACAACUCAGGGAAACUUGAGCUAAUACCGGAUGUGCCCUUCGGGGGAAAGAUUUAUCGCCAUUGGAGCGGCCCGCGUCUGAUUAGCUAGUUGGUGAGGUAACGGCCCACCAAGGCGACGAUCAGUAGCUGGUCUGAGAGGAUGAUCAGCCACACUGGGACUGAGACACGGCCCAGACUCCUACGGGAGGCAGCAGUGGGGAAUCUUGCGCAAUGGGCGAAAGCCUGACGCAGCCAUGCCGCGUGAAUGAUGAAGGUCUUAGGAUUGUAAAAUUCUUUCAGCGGGGACGAUAAUGACGGUACCCGCAGAAGAAGCUCCGGCUAACUUCGUG
Molecule: ribosomal RNA, 433 nt
Filed under: uncultured bacterium
Lineage: Bacteria
Description: partial 16S ribosomal RNA
Rfam family: Bacterial small subunit ribosomal RNA
Source: RNAcentral